UACGGAGGAUCCAAGCGUUAUCCGGAUUCAUUGGGUUUAAAGGGUGCGUAGGCGGAAUGAUAAGUCAGUGGUGAAAUCCUGCAGCUUAACUGCAGAACUGCCAUUGAUACUGUCAAUCUUGAGUAUAUUUGAUGUGGGCGGAAUGUGUCAUGUAGCGGUGAAAUGCUUAGAUAUCGUCAAGAACACCGAUAGCGAAGGCAGCUUACUAGGCUGUAACUGACGCUGAGGCACGAAAGUGUGGGGAUCAAACAGG
Molecule: ribosomal RNA, 253 nt
Filed under: uncultured prokaryote
Description: partial 16S ribosomal RNA
Rfam family: Bacterial small subunit ribosomal RNA
Source: RNAcentral